AUGAGACAGGAGCUGGUUGGUACUCAUCAGCCAAGCACUACGACAACUGUUGUUACCGCUGAGACUCACUGUCGUGUAACACAUGGUCAUUUGUGUUGUUUAGGCAUGAUUGGAAACUCCAGUCUGCUGGCUGCAGUCCUGACUGUUGCAUCAGUGGUGUCAAUAAGUCUGCUGUCGCUUCUGUGUCUACGCUGCAAACGGAAAUCCAAGAUCAUACAUGAGGAAACUCAGAUAUACGACCCUCAGACAUUCCAACGUGGGGGAAGUGUGUUUGCUGUGAUGCAAUCAAAAACAGUCACCAGAUCCAAUCACAUAACUUCAACCACAAUUGAAACAUAUGAGGAGGAAUUUUCACCAAGUCCCACUGAUGAGCAGUCAGAUUAUGAAAAUAUCACAGAUGCAGCUGAAAUAGAAACAAAUGCAGAACAUACAUAUGUAGACCCACUGCCUGCUCAACUGUAUGUAAAUGAAGAAACCCCAGAGAGAAUAACUGGUGAUGAACAGAAUACAGACGUCUAUGCCAAUAUUUUCACGUCACUGUCAAUAAAAGAAGAUGACGACGACUAUGAGAACUCAGAGUUCUGGGAACAGUGUGUACAGAAGCCAGAAAAAGAACAAGACGAGGAUGAUGAGCCAGAUUACGUGAAUGAGAAUGGGGAGUGCGCCUGACGAGGCCCAACAGAGAACAUCAGUGAACGGCCAGGACACUGUGGCAUCGGUUGUGCUGAACUGAAGUACCAACGGUUUAUUUCUGUUAUGUGUGAUGUGCAAAUGAUGUGGACAGCUGCGUGAAUAAAUACUGGUAGACCUUGAAUGUGUUGUAUCUA
This 827-nucleotide long non-coding RNA is filed under the name Betta splendens (Siamese fighting fish). RNAcentral's name for it is "lncRNA (ENSBSLG00000018174.1)". The record is from RNAcentral. Lineage: Eukaryota; Metazoa; Chordata; Actinopteri; Anabantiformes; Osphronemidae.